This 104-nucleotide small RNA is filed under the name Arabidopsis thaliana (thale cress). RNAcentral describes it as "ATSL257540". The record is from RNAcentral. Lineage: Eukaryota; Viridiplantae; Streptophyta; Magnoliopsida; Brassicales; Brassicaceae.
AACAUCAUUCCAUAACGGUCACAUCUAUUUCCAUCCCAAAUCAUCGGUCCUUUCUUCACCUUCAGAAAACGCGGUAAGUACUACACCCAACAGGAAAAAGAAAA